Molecule: unclassified non-coding RNA, 481 nt
Filed under: Agrilus planipennis (emerald ash borer)
Lineage: Eukaryota; Metazoa; Arthropoda; Insecta; Coleoptera; Buprestidae
Description: uncharacterized LOC108742806, transcript variant X3
Source: RNAcentral
GACAAUAUGGGCAGAAAUAAUCGUUUCUCCCUUACUAUAGGGUCUAAGACUGUCAUAAUCUCAUGAGGGAUGUAGAAAGAGUCCUACGUGAGGACAAUAUGGGCAGAAAUAAUCGGGUCUAAGACUGUCAUAAUCACAUGAGGGACGUAGAAAGAGCCCCACGCAAGGGCAAUAUGGACAUUAGUAGCCGGGUCUAAAAUUGUACAAAUGACAUGAGGGACAUAGAGAGAGCUCCACACAAGGAAAAUGUGGAUCGAAGCAACUGGGCCUAAGAUUAUCUUUUAGAGGACGUGGAAGGAGCCUCACACAUGGACAAUAAGGGCAGUGGUCACCGGGUCUAAGACUGUCAUAAUCUCAUGAGCGAUGUAGAAAGAGUCCUACGUGAGGAUAAUAUGGGCAGAAAUAAUAUGUGGGCAUUUUGCACCCGUUAUUUUUAAAAUCUUCUUGUUUUUACUUUUAUUUUAAGUAAGCAAUAUUGAAA